GGGUCAGUAGGUUGGUCGUGCCACCGGUACGUACUGGUCUCACUGAUUCCUCCUUCCUGAAGAACCGUAAUGCCAUUAAUUUGGUGUUGCGGGGAAACAGGACUGUUACUUUGAAAAAAUUAGAGUGUUUAAAGCAGGCUAACGCUUGAAUACAUUAGCAUGGAAUAAUGAAAUAGGACGAUCGAUCCUAUUUUGUUGGUCUCUAGGAUUGACGUA
Molecule: ribosomal RNA, 216 nt
Filed under: Glomeromycotina sp.
Lineage: Eukaryota; Fungi; Glomeromycota
Description: partial small subunit ribosomal RNA
Rfam family: Eukaryotic small subunit ribosomal RNA (bases 40-216)
Source: RNAcentral